Molecule: transfer RNA, 71 nt
Filed under: Fusarium irregulare
Lineage: Eukaryota; Fungi; Ascomycota; Sordariomycetes; Hypocreales; Nectriaceae
Rfam family: tRNA
About the family: Transfer RNA (tRNA) molecules are approximately 80 nucleotides in length. Their secondary structure includes four short double-helical elements and three loops (D, anti-codon, and T loops). Further hydrogen bonds mediate the characteristic L-shaped molecular structure. tRNAs have two regions of fundamental functional importance: the anti-codon, which is responsible for specific mRNA codon recognition, and the 3' end, to which the tRNAs corresponding amino acid is attached (by aminoacyl-tRNA synthetases). tRNAs cope with the degeneracy of the genetic code in two manners: having more than one tRNA (with a specific anti-codon) for a particular amino acid; and 'wobble' base-pairing, i.e. permitting non-standard base-pairing at the 3rd anti-codon position.
Source: Rfam by way of RNAcentral
GCGUAAUUGGUUUAGUGGUAAAAUUCUCCGUUGCCAUCGGGGAGCCCUGGGUUCGAUUCCUAGAUUACGCA